AUUGAACGCUGGCGGCAUGCUUUACACAUGCAAGUCGAACGGCAGCACGGGCUUCGGCCUGGUGGCGAGUGGUGAACGGGUGAGUAAUACAUCGGAACGUACCCAGUAGUGGGGGAUAGCCCGGCGAAAGCCGGAUUAAUACCGCAUAUGCCCUGAGGGGGAAAGCGGGGGACCGAACGGCCUCGCGCUAUUGGAGCGGCCGAUGGCUGAUUAGCUAGUUGGUGGGGUAAAGGCCUACCAAGGCGACGAUCAGUAGCUGGUCUGAGAGGACGACCAGCCACACUGGGACUGAGACACGGCCCAGACUCCUACGGGAGGCAGCAGUGGGGAACUUUGGACAAUGGGCGAAAGCCUGAUCCAGCAAUGCCGCGUGUGCGAAGAAGGCCUUCGGGUUGUAAAGCACUUUUGUUUGGAAAGAAAAGGUUUGGGUUAAUACCCUGGACUGAUGACGGUACCAAUCGAAUAAGCACCGGCUAACUACGUGCCAGCAGCCGCGGUAA
RNAcentral lists this ribosomal RNA (500 nucleotides) under uncultured bacterium. RNAcentral's name for it is "partial 16S ribosomal RNA". It matches the Rfam family "Bacterial small subunit ribosomal RNA", at positions 29 to 523 of the family's 1533-position model. The record is from RNAcentral.